This 460-nucleotide ribosomal RNA is filed under the name uncultured bacterium. RNAcentral describes it as "partial 16S ribosomal RNA". It matches the Rfam family "Bacterial small subunit ribosomal RNA", at positions 338 to 795 of the family's 1533-position model. The record is from RNAcentral.
CCUACGGGAGGCAGCAGUGAGGAAUAUUGGUCAAUGGGCGCGCGCCUGAACCAGCCAAGUAGCGUGAAGGAUGACUGCCCUACGGGUUGUAAACUUCUUUUAUAAAGGAAUAAAGUGAGGCACGUGUGCCUUUUUGUAUGUACUUUAUGAAUAAGGAUCGGCUAACCCCGUUCCAGCAGCCGCGGUAAUACGGAGGAAUGGAGCGUUUUCCGGAUUUUUUGGGUUUUAAGGGAGCCGAGAUGGGUUGUUAAGUCAGUUGUGAAAGUUUGCGGCUCAACCGUAAAAUUGCAAUUGAUACUGGCAGCCUUGAGUACAGUUGAGGUAGGCGGAAUGCGUGGUGUAGCGGUGAAAUGCUUAGAUAGCACGAAGAACUCCGAUUGCGAAGGCAGCCUACUAAACUGCCACUGACAUUGAUGCUCGAAAGUGUGGGUAUCAAACAGGAUUAGAUACCCGAGUAGUC